AUUGAACGCUGGCGGCAGGCCUAACACAUGCAAGUCGAGCGGAUGAAGGGAGCUUGCUCCUGGAUUCAGCGGCGGACGGGUGAGUAAUGCCUAGGAAUCUGCCUGGUAGUGGGGGAUAACGUCCGGAAACGGGCGCUAAUACCGCAUACGUCCUGAGGGUGAAAGUGGGGGAUCUUCGGACCUCACGCUAUCAGAUGAGCCUAGGUCGGAUUAGCUAGUUGGUGGGGUAAAGGCCUACCAAGGCGACGAUCCGUAACUGGUCUGAGAGGAUGAUCAGUCACACUGGAACUGAGACACGGUCCAGACUCCUACGGGAGGCAGCAGUGGGGAAUAUUGGACAAUGGGCGAAAGCCUGAUCCGGCCAUGCCGCGUGUGUGAAGAAGGUCUUCGGAUUGUAAAGCACUUUAAGUUGGGAGGAAGGGCAGUAAGUUAAUACCUUGCUGUUUUGACGUUACCAACAGAAAAAGCACCGGCUAACUUCGUG
This 484-nucleotide ribosomal RNA is filed under the name uncultured bacterium. RNAcentral describes it as "partial 16S ribosomal RNA". It matches the Rfam family "Bacterial small subunit ribosomal RNA", at positions 30 to 507 of the family's 1533-position model. The record is from RNAcentral.